RNAcentral lists this ribosomal RNA (433 nucleotides) under uncultured bacterium. Its description in RNAcentral is "partial 16S ribosomal RNA". It matches the Rfam family "Bacterial small subunit ribosomal RNA", at positions 29 to 507 of the family's 1533-position model. The record is from RNAcentral.
AACGAACGCUGGCGGCAUGCCUAACGCAUGCAAGUCGAACGAGACCUUCGGGUCUAGUGGCGCACGGGUGCGUAACGCGUGGGAACCUGCCCUUAGGUUCGGAAUAACUCCCCGAAAGGGGUGCUAAUACCGGAUAAUGUCUUCGGACCAAAGAUUUAUCGCCUUUGGAUGGGCCCGCGUUGGAUUAGCUAGUUGGUAGGGUAAAAGCCUACCAAGGCGACGAUCCAUAGCUGGUCUGAGAAGAUGAUCAGCCACACUGGGACUGAGACACGGCCCAGACUCCUACGGGACGCAGCGGUGGGGAAUAUUGGAGAAUGAGCGAAAGUCUGGUCCAGCAAUGCCGCGUGAGUGGUCAAGGCCUUAGGGUUGUAAAGCUCUUUUACCCGGGAUGAUAAUGACAGUACCGGGAGAAUAAGCUCCGGCUAACUACGUG